GCCGGAGUGGCGGAAUUGGCAGACGCGCGGGAUUCAAAAUCCCGUCAGGAUAACCCCUGGUGGGGGUUCGACUCCCCCCUUCGGCACCA
RNAcentral lists this transfer RNA (89 nucleotides) under Planctomycetota bacterium. RNAcentral describes it as "tRNA-Leu". It matches the Rfam family "tRNA". Rfam says of the family: Transfer RNA (tRNA) molecules are approximately 80 nucleotides in length. Their secondary structure includes four short double-helical elements and three loops (D, anti-codon, and T loops). Lineage: Bacteria; Pseudomonadati; Planctomycetota. The record is from RNAcentral.